CCUUAGGGACUUUAUCUAAGGUUAAACCUGCCCAAUGUAACAUAUAUGAAUGGCCGCGGUACUUUGACCGUGCUAAGGUAGCGCAAUCAAUUGGCUUUUAAUUGAAGCCAUGUAUGAAUGGAAUCACGGGGUUUAGCUGUCUCUUAACUAAUUUAUCGAAAUUACUAUUUAGGUGAAAAAGCCUAAGAAAAGAAGAAGGACGAGAAGACCCUUAGAGUUUUACUAAAACUAAAAAUAUUUUUAAGACAGUUUAGUUGGGGCAACAUAGGAGCAAUAAGUUAACCUCCUGUAACAGACUAACCGAUACUAAUAAAAAUGAAUAAACUACCUUAGGGAUAACAGCAUAAUUUUAUAAAUAAGUUUGUGACCUCGAUGUUGGACUAGGAAACUUAGAGGCUAGCCGCCUCUUAGGAAAGUUCUGUUCGAACUAUUAUUCCU
Molecule: ribosomal RNA, 438 nt
Filed under: Asteronotus hepaticus
Lineage: Eukaryota; Metazoa; Mollusca; Gastropoda; Nudibranchia; Asteronotidae
Description: partial large subunit ribosomal RNA
Rfam family: Archaeal large subunit ribosomal RNA
Source: RNAcentral